Molecule: long non-coding RNA, 821 nt
Filed under: Homo sapiens (human)
Lineage: Eukaryota; Metazoa; Chordata; Mammalia; Primates; Hominidae
Description: HSALNT0273102
Source: RNAcentral
AUCACAUGUGGGACUGGAAUGUUAUUAUAACUGCACUGAAAAAGGCAAAGGAGCUCAGCUCUCUGAGAGAGAGAAUUCAGGCAUGGGAGGUCAGAUGGAUUGCUGAAAAUGCUGGUUAAGAGCCUCUUACAAAUCUACCUCUUUGCAAGUCUCUUAUCUACCUACUAAUCAUCGAAAAUCCAGAAAGCUCAGGGUUUAGGACCAUAAUUUGCAAAAUCUCCGCAAUCCUGUUGGUUGAAAAGCACAGGUGAAAUAUGAAAUCUCACUCAAGCUCACUGUUAAGUGAACCAAGGACAAACUGAUUUUAUUACGUCUAUUUCCUAAAAAGCCUUCUCCAAUAAGCCCUCGGUGAAGGAAGUGGUAUAUUCUGGAGUAUGCAGAAUUUUUAUUAACAGCAUUUGCCUCUGGAACUGUGGACACCUCUUUGCAAGUGGAGACCCUGUUUUCUCCCAUUCCUAACCUAGGGGAAGACUCCACACCCUCAGCCAUGCUCAUGCCCCCGGGCCAGGAGCUGCUGUGGGGGGAGCACACGCUUCCUCAAAAUGGCCAUUUCUGAUCUUGACCUUCACGCCACAAUUAGCAGUAAGUAAUGUGAGUCUUGCUUUAUCCCACAGAGGGAAUUUCCGUUUGGACAAUGUUUUCAGAAAUGUAAUCUUUUCAAUAUGAAACUGCUGAUGGACCAAGAAAACAAAACCCUCAACCCAAGGGAACAUCAGAUUGCUGGUCAAGGAGAAAUGAGGAGCUGACGGUCUCAGCAUUUAUUUGACUUGCUCCACGGACAGAGCAGGAGAAGGCUCAAACCUCUUCACCCCAAGACUCUC